This 288-nucleotide long non-coding RNA is filed under the name Ananas comosus (pineapple). Its description in RNAcentral is "long non-coding RNA (ACOM_LNC032890)". The record is from RNAcentral. Lineage: Eukaryota; Viridiplantae; Streptophyta; Magnoliopsida; Poales; Bromeliaceae.
ACCGGCAAAAAUGAGAAUUUUUUUUCAUUAAAAUCAUUAUUUUUCAAAUUUUUUUUUUAUACUUUUUCUAGAAACCAAACGACCCCAUCACUAUCCAAUUCAAUUAGUCUUUACUAACACCGACCGUUUCUAGAGCAAGUGACAAAGGGCUUGGUGGUUGGUACCCGAGACCCAAGUUCGAAUCCUAGUUGAUUCAUAUUUCCAGCUAAGUUUAUUUUUAAAUGAAAUAAACGAAGCGGGCAGCGUGCUACCUAUCUCUCUCAAAAAAAAAAAAAAAAAAAAGUCUUU